GCGGGUAUGGCGGAAUUGGCAGACGCGCUGGAUUUAGGAUCCAGUGGAGUAAUCCGUGCGGGUUCGACCCCCACUACCCGUACCA
Molecule: transfer RNA, 85 nt
Filed under: Oscillospiraceae bacterium
Lineage: Bacteria; Bacillati; Bacillota; Clostridia; Eubacteriales; Oscillospiraceae
Description: tRNA-Leu
Rfam family: tRNA
About the family: Transfer RNA (tRNA) molecules are approximately 80 nucleotides in length. Their secondary structure includes four short double-helical elements and three loops (D, anti-codon, and T loops).
Source: RNAcentral